CUUUCGAGUGAUGGUGUUUGUCUUCCCCAGUAACUAUUAUGUGUGAUAGGACCCUGUUCUCCUGGAAGUGGCUGAACACCUGCCUGCCCAUGGGAGAUGAUUCAGCUGUGAUAAUCCCCUGGGACAUUCACAUCAAGCCUGAAGGUAUUCGUCUCUUGUUGAUGAGUCAUAAUGGACCAUAAUGAACUCAUAAUGGACAUAAGAGACAGCUACAGCUGCAACAUCUUAGAAAGUGUCAAAGACUCCUGAAGUAUCCUGUGACUCACAGUAUUACAUCAUCCAGGCUUCCACCACUACCUUGACAGUUCCAGAUUGCAACCACCACUUGGACAGGUCUUCAAACACCACUUCGACCAAUGAACAUUGAAAUUGCAACAACCAAGUCUCAUCGUUGGA
Long non-coding RNA from Pseudopipra pipra, 396 nucleotides. RefSeq lists it as uncharacterized. The record is from RefSeq and is a predicted model, not a curated record. The transcript is spliced from 3 exons. Lineage: Eukaryota; Metazoa; Chordata; Aves; Passeriformes; Pipridae.